GUCCCCGCCCUGCUUGUUCCCGAUGCGAGGUGUCUUGCCUGCGCUCCUGCCCCUAGCUGGACCCCUGACCACCCGUCCAAAGCUCAAUUUCAUCCUGGUCUUUGCAGAUAGUGUCCCGCAUCUUGGAUCAGCGAGACAGCCACCAAGCACAAUCAUCAUCGCGGUGGCCGGAUCCCAAUCUGCCUCCGCCAGGGACGGUUUCUGUGGCCAUGAAGGGAGCCAGAACCGCUAGCCCUGCACGGAUCUAGCCACCCCGUCACCGCCGACGACGGUUGUCCUGGCCACUGCCGGAGCAGUAACCGUAACUGGCUCGCCUCUUCCUCUCUCUCAUGAGCAGUAAGCCAGUAACCGUAGCAUUCCACAUAAUUUAUAGUUUAUGAUCUUCUAAACUUGUCAAGUGCAUAGGCUCAAGUUGUCUUAUGAUGACUGUUAGGUUACAUCUGCUUGUAACGGCAAAAGAGUUCAAGAUUUCGUUUUUCUCCUGAUCAUAUUACUCCUUCCCGCUCAGACUAUUAGCGUGGUUCGUCGGGCGCUUUGUCGUGCCAUUCUCCAACUGGAUUCCACUCGAGCCUGCUGUUUGGGUGACGAUUCAGCUUGCAGUUGUGCACAGCUAAAGCCUCCUCUGGUAGCGCAAAGCUUUUUCAGGAAUCCAUGGCUGAAAGGGUGGGAUAUGCUGAGCUGAAGCUGAGACCAAAAUCGAUCAAGAGCAACUGCAUAUUUAAUUCACAUAGCUCUGAAAUAUGGCCCUAGCAUUGGUGUUUUCCUUUCACUUUAAUGGCUGUAAGGGCGGGAUAUGCUGAGCUCAAGCUGAGACCAAAAUGGAGCAAGAGAAAAUGCAUGUUAAUUCACAUAGCUCAGAAAUAUGGCCCCAAAAUUGGUGUUUUCCUUCUACUUUAAUAGAUGUCAAGCUAUUCCAACAGAAAUAAUGAUCUCUAUUACAAAAGAAAUUAUCCUGUGAAGCGUUUUAUUAUGUUUAUUCAUUAUUUGCAGAUUUAGUUCUUAGUAAGGUGGAGCUAUCUUUCUAGAUUCUUGUCGAAGUGUUCCCUGUAUUUUUGUUGAUGCUCAAAGUUAAGCACAUAUUUUUACUGGAGUCCUUGCAGACAGUCUUUGUUAUCAACUCUGUUGCUACAUCAGUUUCUUAAAAUCAUGGGAUAGUGCAAUAAAUGACCUUGCAUGUCCUAUGUCCAAUAUUUAGUGCAAUAACCAGGUAUGGAGAGUAUCGCUCUUUGUAUUGGCAUAUUAAUUGCAUGGGUUUAGUACAUGAAAUUCCCAAACUGCUCCUUCUAAAUUAUACAUACCACUAUUUUUUUCAUAAUGAAGAAAAAGUGUAUUUCGUCAUUCAGUUAUUGGCUAUGAGUAGAUUUGGUCCAUCUACACUUAUACCUGAUGCUUUUUCCCUACAAAUUUGAACAUCCUUUGGUCUCUCAUAGUGGUUUUCGUUGAUCCAUGGUGGUUUUGGCUGGUUGGGCCGUUAUGCACAUGCCUCGAGGAGGAGGCUGCAGGGGCAGGGGAGAGGGACUCUAAGGAUUAGGCAGGGCCACAUAUUGCUGUGGGGGAUAUGUCACUAGAGUGGUACAUGGAUGAGGAGCAGAUCAGAUAUGGCAGCUCUGGUAGGAAGAUCAAGAACCAGAACAGGGAGGGGAGACUUGAGGUCUACCUAAGCAAUGUUGUAUGAUUGGGGAUCAACAACAGAACUUGGAUGGAGGAUCUGUUAGCUAUUGAACCUUUGUCUCCUCACAAAAUAAUGCUCUUGGUGCCAUGGAAGCACUGUGUUCCCUGUACUAGAUCUGCUUCAAAAAAAGGGACAAAUAGGCAUAGUACAUAUGAAGUGAUCCAACGUGGUCAUGUAAUUAGUGAUUUGUUAGACAGAGAAAGGUCUAUUUACUUCUUUAUUACUGCUUUUUUUUGUAAAUGUGCAUAUUUACUAUUUUACACCAGAGUACUUACACUUAUGAAGCAUGGACCAAUGCACCUUCAAUUACGCAUUUAUGUGGCUGAUGCAUUAGUUAUUUAUUUACUACUUUGCUAUCCGAAAUGAGAACACGUUCAUUUGCUUGUCACAGUUAAAAGAUCUUAAGUCGU
This is a long non-coding RNA of Lolium rigidum, 2082 nucleotides long. RefSeq lists it as uncharacterized. The record is from RefSeq and is a predicted model, not a curated record. NCBI's taxonomy places the organism in Eukaryota, Viridiplantae, Streptophyta, Magnoliopsida, Poales, Poaceae. The transcript has 4 exons.